AAAUCCCCGCCCCCUCCACCGUACUAUUACAAAUCCCCACCACCACCUCCCUACAAAUACGAAUCGCCGCCGCCUCCUCCUUACAAAUACGAGUCCCCACCUCCACCACCUUACUAUUACAAGUCCCCACCACCACCUCCAUACAAAUAUGAAUCCCCGCCACCUCCAGUCUACAAAUAUGAGUCUCCGCCACCCCCAGUUUACAAAUACAAGUCGCCACCACCACCAUACAAGUACGAGUCACCACCACCACCUCCAUACAAGUAUGAAUCCCCGCCACCUCCACCUUAUUACUACAAGUCCCCUCCACCACCACCAUACAAGUACGAGUCGCCACCACCUCCUCCGUACAAGUAUGAAUCUCCACCACCACCAGUUUACAAAUACAAGUCACCUCCGCCGCCACCUUAUUACUACAAAUCCCCACCGCCACCUCCAUACAAGUACGAGUCUCCACCUCCUCCUCCGUACAAGUAUGAAUCUCCACCACCACCACCUUAUUACUACAAAUCCCCCCCGCCACCUCCAUACAAGUACGAGUCACCGCCUCCUCCUCCGUACAAGUAUGAAUCUCCACCACCGCCAGUUUACAAAUACAAGUCACCCCCGCCACCACCUUAUUACUACAAAUCCCCGCCACCACCUCCAUACAAGUACGAGUCUCCACCUCCUCCUCCGUACAAGUAUGAAUCUCCACCACCACCUCCUUAUUACUACAAAUCCCCGCCGCCACCUCCCUACAAGUAUGAAUCCCCGCCACCACCUCCCUACAAAUACGAGUCACCUCCACCACCACCUUACUAUUACAAAUCUCCUCCACCGCCUCCAUACAAGUAUGAGUCGCCACCACCACCAGUCUACAAAUACGAGUCUCCGCCACCCCCAGUUUACAAAUACAAGUCGCCCCCUCCACCUUAUUACUACAAGUCUCCGCCACCCCCGCCAUACAAAUAUGAAUCCCCACCUCCACCUCCCUACAAGUAUGAAUCGCCUCCUCCUCCACCUUACUACUACAAGUCCCCUCCACCACCUCCCUACAAAUAUGAAUCCCCGCCACCACCUCCCUAUAAAUACGAGUCACCACCACCACCACCUUACUAUUACAAAUCUCCUCCACCGCCUCCAUACAAGUAUGAGUCGCCACCACCACCUCCCUACAAAUACGAGUCACCACCACCACCACCUUACAAGUAUGAAUCCCCACCUCCACCUCCGUACAAGUAUGAAUCACCUCCACCGCCUCCAUACAAGUAUGAAUCCCCUCCUCCACCUCCCUACAAAUACGAGUCACCACCCCCACCACCUUAUUACUACAAAUCGCCUCCGCCACCGGAGUAUCAAUCAC
RNAcentral lists this long non-coding RNA (1345 nucleotides) under Selaginella moellendorffii. Its description in RNAcentral is "long non-coding RNA (SMOE_LNC002368)". Lineage: Eukaryota; Viridiplantae; Streptophyta; Lycopodiopsida; Selaginellales; Selaginellaceae. The record is from RNAcentral.